Molecule: long non-coding RNA, 731 nt
Organism: Oryzias melastigma (Indian medaka)
Lineage: Eukaryota; Metazoa; Chordata; Actinopteri; Beloniformes; Adrianichthyidae
Exons: 3
Source: RefSeq, a predicted model, not a curated record
AUAGCUGCUGAGUGUCAAGCAGAGGUGCAUCGGGUCCCAUUUUUAGUCUCUUUUCUCAAAUAUCUUUUUAACCUGGAAUCGAGGACACAUUGACUCUGGUGAAAAAAUGUUCUGCUACAAAGAAAGAGCCGUACCCCCACCUGACCGUGAUCAUUAAGCAGCUGAAGAUGGAGGGUUUCCUGCAGAGCAGGUGGACGCACAAACAUCCUGAAAGCCUCAAGAGGCUGAUGGCGUGGUUUAAACAGGGUAAACUGCAGUGUCGGGAGCACGUCACCAAAGAAAUUGAAACCAUGCCAGCAGCUUUCAUGGGGAUGCUGAGAGGAGACAACAUAGGGAAAGCCAUCGUUGCUGUCUGAUGGAUUACUGAUGAAGAUCUUUACUCAAUGAAUAAAGGAUGAUCUAAACAAUAACUGUACUAAGUAUGGUCUUUUCAGUGUUUAUUGAGUUAAUCUUAAUUUUGAACAAAUUUACUUUUAGAUAUAUCAGUAUUUUUCAAUAGAAUAGAGCUUUGUUUGUUUUUAUUUAGUAGUUUACAAAGGUUGUUCUGCUUUCCAUGAUAUAGGCAAAUAAAAAUGUUUUCUGACAACCGUGACACAGUUCUAUCUGAAUGAAUACAAUCAAUCCGAUGUUGUUUUAUAGCUAAAUAGUUAAAAUUGUACCCAGAUCUUUUGUAUUUAUGCCAAAAUAACGUUUUUGUUUAAGUCCUUCUUUCUGGUCUUGUAUGCAUUCCA